GAUCAUGGCUCAGGAUGAACGCUGGCGGCGUGCUUAACACAUGCAAGUCGAGCGAAGCAAUCUAAGUGAAGUUUUCGGAUGGAUUUUGGAUUGACUGAGCGGCGGACGGGUGAGUAACGCGUGGAUAACCUGCCUCACACAGGGGGAUAACAGUUAGAAAUGACUGCUAAUACCGCAUAAGCGCACGGCAUCGCAUGAUGCAGUGUGAAAAACUCCGGUGGUGUG
Molecule: ribosomal RNA, 225 nt
Filed under: uncultured bacterium
Lineage: Bacteria
Description: partial 16S ribosomal RNA
Rfam family: Bacterial small subunit ribosomal RNA
Source: RNAcentral